Molecule: transfer RNA, 85 nt
Filed under: Felis catus (domestic cat)
Lineage: Eukaryota; Metazoa; Chordata; Mammalia; Carnivora; Felidae
Rfam family: tRNA
About the family: Transfer RNA (tRNA) molecules are approximately 80 nucleotides in length.
Source: Rfam by way of RNAcentral
GCCUGGGUGGCUCAGUGGGUUAAGCGUCUGACUUCAGAUCAGGUCAUGAUCGCACAGUUUGUGGGUUCAAGCCCCUCGUUGGGCU